RNAcentral lists this long non-coding RNA (465 nucleotides) under Mytilus galloprovincialis (Mediterranean mussel). The record is from RNAcentral. Lineage: Eukaryota; Metazoa; Mollusca; Bivalvia; Mytilida; Mytilidae.
CAGGGUUUCCGCUGGCGGUCGCCAUUUUCGCAAUUUGCGAAAAAAUAAUAAUUGUGGCGAUAAAAAUUCGUCAUUUGCGAAAGAAUUUGGCGAAAGAAAUAUAUAUAUAACGAUUUAUUUUCCUCCAUCUUGUUUAUUUACUUUUUUCGAGUUUCUCGGACUUUACCCGAUCAGACAAUACUCGGAAUUCACCUUGACCUCAUUAAGAUUUGGACAGAAAAUCAAUAAUCAGCUGAUUGCAUUUUUGGGCGAUAUCUUUUUGCGCCAAAAAGUAACUCAUUUGCGCCACAACUUAAUUGCGCCAAUACCUCUUUUGCGCCACCUAAUUUUCAAAACUAUAGGCAUCAUUUGCGCCAAUAAAAUAAUCAUCUAAUUGCGCCAAUUUUAUAUAUUUUUAUUUAUAUAUAACAACUAAAUGAUUGACUAGGUACCAACAGCAAAAAAUUCCUCUGACAUUGUACACUG